ACUUUGUUCUGAGGGCAAGUGUGCUGCCUGACCCCACUCCUCUGCUCCUUGUGGGGUGCAGGGCCAGCUCUGCAUACAUAGAGAGAAGACCAGGUCAGGCAGCUGACAGCAAAUACUGCCUUGGGGGGCCGAGGAAACAUCACAGAGUGGCCAGGGAGUCACCUCUGGUGUCUCUUCUUUCCCGGAAAGGCCAAACACCAAGAGGUCAGUGUUUGGAGAGUUCAGGGAUCACCCACCACACUGCCAGGCUCUGGCCAGAAUGGAGGUACAGGUACGGGUAGGAGCAGAGGUGCCACUGCGCUGGAGCAGGGCAGGCUGCGUGGAAAACAAGCAGGAUUCCCGCCUCCUCCAACUGCAGACUACACUGGCCAGCAGGUACUUCCUGCCUGCCUUCAUUCGCUGACUAACCUGUGCACCCUGGCUCAGUUCUCCACACCUGCCUUCUUUUUUUUGCAAAAAUGAUCCUGCCGUGGCUCAUGCUGAACCAGUGUCACCGUCACUGGACAUCACCACUGUCCUUCAAGGGCAGGCUGUCUGGUCAGGUGUGUCAGUGGGCUCCCUUUCUUCUCUGAGCCGUAUCUAACCAGCCACCAGGCUGUGGAGGAAAGCUGAAGUCAUCAGACAUGAAAGGUAUUCUUCAAACAACUGACCAUUUAUGGUUUCUUUCCACUUAGACAUUGUUAAACAAGUAAAACUCAAUUGAAUUUAAAGAUUAAAUUGGCUUCCCAACAAUCCAUACUGGGCAGCAUCCCAUCCAGCAAUAGAAAGGAACUCUGAGGUACUGUACCAAACGGAAGGUUGUUUUACAAGCAGAAAAGGAAAUUGUUAGCAAACGCUUGGUUUCAGGCCAGGCUGCCCUCCUGAAGGGAAUGGGUCUACUGGGCAUAUUAUCUCACUAGUGCUGACCAGGUAAUUCCAUGUUGCCUGGUUAAAGGUUACAUUCCUGGGACGUUGAAACUGCAGUUAGGACCCGAUGUAAGUCUUGGUUUGCUGAUGUGGGGUUUAGCACAGGUGACUCUAUUUUGGGCCUGUUGUCUCUCUUCUAACAUCUCCCUGCUUAACACCCUCUAACCAUCAUAGCCCACCUCUCCCAUCUCUUAUUUAAGAUUGUGAAAUGCUGUAAACUUUUGACAUUGAAAAAUACAAUAAAAUAGGUGCCAAAGUACAA
This is a long non-coding RNA of Manis pentadactyla (Chinese pangolin), 1168 nucleotides long. RefSeq lists it as uncharacterized. The transcript has 3 exons. NCBI's taxonomy places the organism in Eukaryota, Metazoa, Chordata, Mammalia, Pholidota, Manidae. The record is from RefSeq and is a predicted model, not a curated record.